Molecule: ribosomal RNA, 385 nt
Filed under: uncultured bacterium
Lineage: Bacteria
Description: bacterial SSU rRNA
Rfam family: Bacterial small subunit ribosomal RNA
Source: RNAcentral
GACGAACGCUGGCGGCGUGCUUAACACAUGCAAGUCGAGCGGUAAGGCCCUUUCGGGGGUACACGAGCGGCGAACGGGUGAGUAACACGUGGGUGACCUGCCCUCAGCUCUGGGAUAAGCCUGGGAAACCGGGUCUAAUACUGGAUAUGACUCCAUGACGCAUGUUGUGGGGUGGAAAGCCUUGUGCGGCUGAGGAUGGGCCCGCGGCCUAUCAGCUUGUUGGUGGGGUGANGGCCUACCAAGGCGACGACGGGUAGCCGGCCUGAGAGGGCGACCGGCCACACUGGGACUGAGACACGGCCCAGACUCCUACGGGAGGCAGCAGUGGGGAAUAUUGCGCAAUGGAGGCAACUCUGACGCAGCCAUGCCGCGUGCAGGAAGAAGG